GACGAACGCUGGCGGCGUGCCUAAUACAUGCAAGUCGAGCGGACUUUCAAGAAGCUUGCUUUUUGAAAGUUAGCGGCGGACGGGUGAGUAACACGUGGGCAACCUGCCUGCAAGACGGGGAUAACUCCGGGAAACCGGGGCUAAUACCGGAUAAUAUCUUCCUUCGCAUGAAGGAAGGUUGAAAGGCGGCGCAAGCUGCCGCUUGCAGAUGGGCCCGCGGCGCAUUAGCUAGUUGGUGAGGGAACGGCUCGCCAAGGCGACGAUGCGUAGCCGACCUGAGAGGGUGAUCGGCCACACUGGGACUGAGACACGGCCCAGACUCCUACGGGAGGCAGCAGUAGGGAAUCUUCCGCAAUGGACGAAAGUCUGACGGAGCAACGCCGCGUGAGCGAAGAAGGUCUUCGGAUCGUAAAGCUCUGUUGUCAGGGAAGAACAAGUACCGUUCGAACAGGGCGGUACCUUGACGGUACCUGACCAGAAAGCCACGGCUAACUACGUG
RNAcentral lists this ribosomal RNA (499 nucleotides) under uncultured bacterium. RNAcentral's name for it is "partial 16S ribosomal RNA". It matches the Rfam family "Bacterial small subunit ribosomal RNA", at positions 28 to 507 of the family's 1533-position model. The record is from RNAcentral.